RNAcentral lists this non-coding RNA (49 nucleotides) under Pseudomonas rhizosphaerae. Its description in RNAcentral is "Guanidine-II sequence". It matches the Rfam family "Guanidine-II riboswitch aptamer (mini-ykkC)". Rfam says of the family: Simpler in structure and has fewer highly conserved nucleotide positions than the ykkC-yxkD leader. Despite this each of its two stem-loop structures directly bind free guanidine. The record is from Rfam by way of RNAcentral. Lineage: Bacteria; Pseudomonadati; Pseudomonadota; Gammaproteobacteria; Pseudomonadales; Pseudomonadaceae.
GCGCCGGGACGACCCGGCGCCACUUUUCCUGCAAACGGGGACGACCCCA